This is a non-coding RNA of Gossypium hirsutum (cotton), 131 nucleotides long. The record is from Rfam. Lineage: Eukaryota; Viridiplantae; Streptophyta; Magnoliopsida; Malvales; Malvaceae.
UGUUAAAAAUUCCAUUCAUUUCUACUGUUAAAAUUAACGUGGCUGAUAGAAUAAAUAGACACACAAUGUGUACCUCAUUCUCACGUACAAGUAUCAGCUUUUAAUAUUAAAAAUAAGUAGAAUUUUUAACA